RNAcentral lists this ribosomal RNA (441 nucleotides) under uncultured bacterium. Its description in RNAcentral is "partial 16S ribosomal RNA". It matches the Rfam family "Bacterial small subunit ribosomal RNA", at positions 338 to 795 of the family's 1533-position model. The record is from RNAcentral.
CCUACGGGAGGCAGCAGUGGGGGAUAUUGCACAAUGGGGGAAACCCUGAUGCAGCAACGCCGCGUGAGUGAAGAAGUAUUUCGGUAUGUAAAGCUCUAUCAGCAGGGAAUAAAUAAGAAGGUACCUGACAAAGAAGCCCCGGCUAACUACGUGCCAGCAGCCGCGGUAAUACGUAGGGGGCAAGCGUUAUCCGGAUUUACUGGGUGUAAAGGGAGCGUAGACGGACAGGCAAGUCAGAAGUGAAAGCCCAAGGCUCAACCCGGGGACUGCUUUUGAAACUGUCAGACUAGAGUACGGGAGGGGCAGGAGGAAUUCCUAGUGUAGCGGUGAAAUGCGUAGAUAUCAGGAGGAACACCAGUGGCGAAGGCGGCCUACUGGACCGAAACUGACGUUGAGGCUCGAAAGUGUGGGGAGCAAACAGGAUUAGAUACCCGAGUAGUC